GUGGAAAACCGGGGUCGCCGGAAUGCUGCGGGGUCGCCGGAACAUUCCGGCGACCCCGCAGCAUUCCGGCGAAUUCGGUGCGCGGA
This 86-nucleotide small RNA is filed under the name Arthrobacter cupressi. RNAcentral's name for it is "microRNA MIR1846". The stretch from base 10 to 77 matches the Rfam family "MIR1846 microRNA precursor family", at positions 1 to 86 of the family's 110-position model. Lineage: Bacteria; Bacillati; Actinomycetota; Actinomycetes; Micrococcales; Micrococcaceae. The record is from RNAcentral.